CCCCGAUUUGGACCAACUUGAAAACUGGGCCAAUAAUAAAAAAUCUAAGUACAUUUUUAGAUUCAGUAUAUCAAAGAACCCCAAGGAUUCAAUUUUUGUUAAAAUCAAACUAAGUUUAAUUUUGCACCCUUUGGACCUUAAUGUAGACCAAUUUGAAAACAGGACCAAAAAUUAAGAAUCUACAUACACAGUUAGAUUCGGAAUAUCAAAGAACCCCAAUUGUUCAAUUUUUGAUGAAAUCAAACAAAGUUCAAUUUUGGACCCUUUGAGCCCCUUAUUCCUAAACUGUUGGGACCAAAACUCCCAAAAUCAAACCCAACCUUCCUUAAGUGGUUAUAAACCUUGUGUUUAAAUUUCAUAUAUUUCUAUUUACUUAUACUAAAGUUAUGGUGCGAAAACCCAAGAAUAAUGCUUACUUGGGCCCCUUUUUGGCCCCUAAUUCCUAAACUGUUCAGACCUCAACUCCCAAAAUCAAUCCCAACCUUCCUUUUGUGGUCAUAAACCUUGUGUCAAAAUUUCAUAGAUUUUUAUUUACUUAAAUUAAAGUUAUAGUGCGAAAACCAAGAACAUGCUUAUUUUGGCCCUUUUUGGCCCCUAAUUCCUAAAAUGUUGGGACCAAAACUCCCAAAAUCAAUCCCAACCUUACUUUUGUGGUCAUAAACCUUGUGUUAAAAUUUCAUAGAUUUCUAUUCACUUUUACUAAAGUUACAGUGCGAAAACUAAAAGUAUUUGGACGACGACGACGCAGACUACGACGCCAACAUCAUACCAAUAUACGACCAAAAAAAUUUUAAUUUUUGCGGUCGUAUCAAAAUUACCACAUUAUAGAUAUUCAUGUCUACACCGAAGUGUUGACUACUGGGCUGGUGAUACCCUCGGGGACGAAACGUCCCCCCAGCAGUGGCAUCGACCCAGUGGUGUAAAUAGUUAACCUAUAGAGCAGUCGAAAGGACUGCUUUAAGUUAACUUGUGAACAGGUUAGACUGCAUCCAUCUAUAGAGCUUACAUUUCUAUUAAUUCAUCCAUGGAUUACAAACCUCAUAUUCUUACUAAUAUUAUCCGGUGAUUUCAAUCAAAAUGGUACUUUAUAUUCUUUUAUCUAUUUGUAAUCCCCCCAAAUAAAAAAAAACCAGGAAACUUGACAAAACACAAGGAAAUUGAUUGUUUAUUUUAAAUGCUUUGUAUUCUUGACUUGCUGCCUCAAUAAUCUUUAUCUCCCCAUCUUCCUCUGUUCACAUUUAAAUAAAUUUACAAUUUUCUUCAUCAGCUUGUUUCAAUUUAGACCCAAAUAUUACCUGGCAUAUCUAAAAAUAAAAAAAAACAAUAUUUCACAAACUCCAAAACAAAAAGAUUUUAUUUUUCUCACAAAUUACAUUUAACAAUUGUGUAUAGUAUGAUGGUAAUACAUGUUUACUCUAUACAAGGUCAAAUAAAUACAUUCCAUAAUGACCUUGACCAGGACACAAUAACCUUGAAUACAGUUGUCAAGGUCAUUCACUUAUCUUGACCAUUUGAAGUCAAAAUGUAUUUCUAUAUAUAUGUUUAUAUAUAUAUAUUAUAUGAUAUAUACAAAUGAGCAAUCAAUUGAAGCACAAAUGAAUUUGGCUUUUAUGGCACAAAUUAAAUCUAAAACUUAGGGAUAAACUAAAACUUGAGUAAAACAAAUGUAGUAGCUUUUUGUUAAAAAAAAAAAAAAAAACAUACAUUGAAGUUGAUUAUAUCUGAUUCUAAUUGAGAAUCAAAAAUAUAUAUACAGUAGUAUCUGUGUAUAAAUAUUUAUCUUUUGUGCGACUAUCAGAAUCCUUUGAAUAAAAGGUAUGGCCAAUAACCCCUUAUUUUUUUUACACCAGGGUCUCCCAAAAUUGUUUUCAAUCUUUAUUCAAAUUUACAGUAUCACAGAUUUAUGUGUUUACUUACAAAGUAUGAUAAAUAUUAUACAGUUUUCAUAUUUCUGAACAUUACCAAUUUUCACUGCCUUAAUGACUAAAAAAAAUUGAUAAAGUGAUACUGCUUUGGUCAAAACAAAAACCUAAAAAGAUAGAAAGAAAUUUAUUGUCUUUCAAAUAUUAAAGUUUUAAAAACUUGGAAAAACAAUUUUCCUCAUAAAAUUAAAUCCAGAAACAUCCAGGGUUUUUUUUUGUGGUUUAAAUUGCAUCCAAAUUGUUUAGUGUUCAAUAACAUUUUUAUGGUUAUUGGCAAAUUAGGAAAUCUUUCAACGUAUGUUAUUGACACUAAAAUUCCAAGUAACUCUAGGUACUAUGAACUUUCUGAUUCUGAACCAACCAUUGAAAUAAAUACAGGGGAAAUUGGCCAUACCACUUCAAUAUUUCAUUACAUGUUACAUAUACAUAUAUUUCUAUUCUAAUCUAUUCUUAAUCUGUAUCAUCCACAAAAUGUAUCCCCAUUUGAUUAAAAAAUACAUGUUUUAGUUGCAGAUUGUAUUUUGAUAUCUAGAAGUCUUGAGUUAUCUCAUAGGCGUGUACUACAACCAGUUUAUGCAUAUCUAAUAUAUAUCUUUCCUUUUGUAAAAUUUUAUCUUUACAUUAGGAUUUAUAGUGAUCUAAAUUCAUUUUGAAAAUCUUUAUUAUGCAAUAAAGGAAAAUGAUAUAAGAUUAAUUGAAAAUUGUAUGUGUUUUAACUUUGCAAAUAUGUUUUGAAAAAAGAUAUUUGAAAGUGUACUCAUAUUUUUCUUUUUUGAACAAAUUUUAAACAACUAAUCAGUCAUUACAUUAGCUAAGUGAAAGUGUUAGUACUUAAAUUAGUCUACAAAAAAAUGAUAUCAAUACCAAUGCAACAUGAGGUGACGAUUUAUCUACAAUGAUGACUAUAAUAUAUAUUGAAGAGGCACACACUGUUGGCUAUCUGUUUUUUCUGAGGGCUAAUACAUUACAAUAAAUAGGAGAGGAUAGGAAGGGACUUCAAACAAAAACCCUUGUGAUCUUGCCAACAUCAGAUGGACUCACAACCACAUAAGACCCAUGCCCUGUUUCUAAAAAUAGGAUUUCCAUUACUAUCCAUCCACAUUCAUUUUUAAUAGACUGUUUCCUAUGAAAAUUCACAUUCAAGUUGAAAUCUAAUAGCUUAUUUCUAAGUUCGCAUCAUCAUUUUAUAACAAGUAAUUGCAAAUGAAAAUUAAACAAUAUAUUCAAAUCACUAAAUAACUUGACAAUUUAAUACAAAUUGUAGUGUUCUCAUGAGGUUGUUUCCCUUUAGUUAUAUUGACUGCAAUUUUAAAUUGUGAGACCCUCAUUAUAUACAAUAUUAUAUAAACCUUUAUUAGAAAACCCAGUGGCACAUUGUCAUCAAAUUUACAUUUCUGUGACGAAACAGACAAGAAAAAAUUGUCAAAGUUCAAUUGUGUAUCCAUGACAUAUUGGUAAUUAUGCAAUUUCUUAUUUUUUUUUACAGAAAUAAAAUAUAUAUUUGUGAACAAUGUUUUUAUAUAAAGGCUAGUAAAUAUUUAAAGUAAGCAUACCAAAAAUACCACUUUUUGUUAAAUAGACUUUGUUUAACCCUUUCCUCUAUGUACCAUAAGUGUGUUACAGGUGUUAUGAAUGUUUUUCAUACUUUUUUGUUAGAAAUGGGAAAAUGAAUCUUGUAACCUAAUGAGAUCAUGUAAAGGGCAUACGAUACAGUUACAGGGGAGGUAAUGACGUUGCUAACGUAAAAUGUUAUUUUCGCGACGUCAAACUAUGACAUAUCGGAAAAGAUGCAUUUUUCGACUAUUUUUUAUCAUUCAAACUGAUUUAAUUUGAAAACGAGUGCAUGGACCAAUAUUUUUUAAAACAACAUUUUGUUUCAUUUUGUAGGGAGAUUAUGUGGACCAAAUUUUAUAAAACUGUAAAUAGAGGAAUUUUUUUAAUUUUGAUAAAUAUACAGCAAAAAAAUACGAUUUGUUCUUAAUUCAUGACCAUUUGAUAAAUAUGAGUUAUUUCUGAAUAAAAAAUGCAUAAUUUUUUAGGAUACUUAUAAAAAACAAAAAUUACAAAUUAUCUAACAAAAAACAAUUUGUGUUUAUCUUUUAAAACAAAAAAGUUAUGUUUUUCUUUCGAAAGAGAAAAUACGGCCACAAAUCCGAAUUUUGAGCAAAUAUACAAAAUUUCGACCUCAUUUAACUCAAAAAGUAGCACAUGAAGGUAUAUUUUUUAUUACAUAUUUGAUUUAAGCAGGCAAAAACUAGCCUAUAUGGAAAUUUUCACCAAACUGUAAAUACAGGAUCAAAACUGUAUCGUAUGCCCUUAAAGGGAGAAUUAGAACACCUAAUGGAAACAAAUUAGUUAAUACUACAAUAUAUAUUUUAUGAUGUAUUCCUUCUUCUAGUUAAGACAAUUAAAAUAAACAAUAAAAUGUCUUUAUCACAUAUAUACGAACAAUAAAAUAAAGGAACUUUGUGAUUACACCGGGCUUUGGUAUCCUAUUGUUACAGGAAAUUCAUACAAGAAUUAGAAGUAAUCUUGAAAUUUGUUCAAUUUUAACUUAUACCUUAAAAUACAAUUACUACAUCAGCCAUUUUAAUUUUUUUUUAAAUAAUAUGCUGAAAAAAAUUAUUUAUUCAAAUUAGUUGAAAAUUGUGCUUUUUUAAUUAACUUCUUAUUUUAUACUGUUGAUAAAAUCCUCUGUACAUUUUUCUAAAAAAUGAACUUUACUUUCAAAAAUUCAAGUUUUUUUUUAUAUCGCUGACAUUUAAAAAGGCUUUACAAAUAUAAAAAAAACUUUGUUUUUGAAAUUAUAAAUAAAUGUUUAGUAGUAUUCAAAAUAGAUGGCCUACUUUCAUGACUUUCAGAACAUACCAAUUUUUUUCCCCAUUUAUAAUAUAAAUCUAAAUAAGAAAUUCAUUAACUUCAGUGAUAAGAAUGCAAGUAAUAAAUGUAAAAGAUGAAUAUAUAUAUAUGUAUGUAUGUAUGAAAAUAUGUUUCAGCAAUCGUUAUUGGAAAUCUCCUGAGAGGGGUACCUGAUUAACUUUAAUAAAGCUUAAACUUGAAAAAAAACAUUUGAUUUUACAAUAAUGAUAAUAGACCUCAUUAAAGCUGCACCAAAUCAUGCAGAACUUAUUUUUAAAACAUAACUGGGAUCUUAUCAUGCUAAAUAUAAUGCAACAUUAUUCAAAUAAUUUAGAAAUUUACAUGCAUUUUCAACUUCAUAAAAUUCAUUGACUGGUCUUUUCUUUUAAAUCUAAUAUUAGAUAGUUAUUUGUGGUAUUCCAAAUCUCAUUUUACAGAUUGAGAGAGAGAGAGAGAGAGAGAGAGAGAGAUAUGUUAAUCAGGGAUGUUUUAUAUUCUAUAAUCUUAAAACUUGUUUUCAUUUAAAUCCACUUAUUUUAUCCUGAAAUUAGUUUUUCUUUUACCAACCGUAAAGUUGAUCUUUUAAAUAUUUUUAAAAUGGCAUCUUACUUUUGUUAAUACAACUUCUUGCUUUAAAUUAUAAAUUUUCUGUAAGAAAUUGAAAUCAAAUCUUUUAAAACCUCUUACUAGUUUUUUUUUUCUCUGCCUUAUAUUUGAUUAACAGAAUUAAAAACAUUACCUAGAUAGCUUAAAUUUAGUUUUCAUGAUUUCAAUAAAUCAAAUUUUUACAUUAAUUCUUAAAACUUCAAUAAUUUCAGUAUACAUGUAUACAUUACGUCCAGUUAAUCAUAUAUGUUUGACCAAAACUGGAUCCUAGCUGCCAACAAAAAAUGGCCUCUCACAUUUUUCCUUCCCACAAUCCCUUUCUAGCUGACAUGAAAUUGCUAUUUACAAUUGUGUUAUAUACUUUAAUUCUAUUUUACACUCCAAUAAUUAUAUAUUUUGUAUAUACUCAUAACAUUUAAUUUAUCUAAUAUUUUCUUCAAAAAUAUUUAAAUAUCACAGAAAUAGUUCAGAUUAAAAGAACACCAUGCCUCUAUAAUGUAUAAUGAAUAAGUUUAAAAGAGUAAAAGUAAAGCAAAGGAAAUCUGUGCAAGUAUAUUAAGAACUCAAUUUUUAAAAACUCUGCAUUAAAACCUUUAUAACAUAGUAUCCCUCUUUCAAUAAAAAAGAAGGAAAAAAAAGAAAAUAUGCGUUUAGAAAAAUAACAAGCAAGUUCUUUGUGUACCUAUGGUGAUGUCAUAUCCUGAAACUAACUAGAAGGGUCAGGAUGGGGUGUAAAGAAUAGAGAGUAUAGAAUUACUGUUAAAAUUUGGUAAUUAAGAUAAUGAACAACGAUUAAUACAGAAAUGUACAGAAUUAAGAAACCAUGUAAUAACAAACAAAUAUAAUAGUUAAAUGAUGCUCUUGAGAAUUUUAGAAAAUAAGCAUUGAUUUUAAAGAUAAAGAAAAAGUUAUAAAAAAAAAAAAUAACAAGAAUACAGAAAUGAAGGACACCCCAUCCAGACCCUCAUUAAGGACUCAUGGCCUACUGAGUUAUAACCUAAUGAUGUUGGAACACAUUUGAACAUAUAACAAGCAUAAACUGCAACAUAUAACAAGCACUAAUACAAAGUUAAAAAAAAAACAGUUCUUUCAGCACUUUUCUCACCACAAUGUUUUAACCUUUUUUUACCUAUAUACAUUUACAGCAUUCAUGCACAAAAAAACAAACAUUGCACUAACAAUUCAAACUUUUUUAUAAACAAAUACACUUGUUAUUCAACACACUAAUUUCAUCAUUAGUACACAGCAACAUUAUUUCAUGUUAUUAUAUUACAUUUAUAUUUCUAUAUAAAUCUGUAUAUUUAGGUAAAACAUUCUUUAACAACUGAUUGAUGUAACACAUAACAGUUUGAUCAUUCUUAUGUGAAUUGUAAAAUUGUCGUUUUAACAUAAAACUGCUAUAACUGUAAAAAAAAAU
Molecule: long non-coding RNA, 6804 nt
Filed under: Mytilus galloprovincialis (Mediterranean mussel)
Lineage: Eukaryota; Metazoa; Mollusca; Bivalvia; Mytilida; Mytilidae
Source: RNAcentral